CCUACGGGAGGCAGCAGUGAGGAAUAUUGGUCAAUGGACGAGAGUCUGAACCAGCCAAGUAGCGUGAGGGAUGACUGCACUAUGUGUUGUAAACUUCUUUUAUCAGGGAAUAAAGUGAGGCACUAGUGCCCUUUUGUAUGUACUUUAUGAAUAAGGAUCGGCUAACUCCGUGCCAGCAGCCGCGGUAAUACGGAGGAUCCGAGCGUUAUCCGGAUUUAUUGGGUUUAAAGGGGGCGUAGAUGGGUUGUUAAGUCAGUUGUGAAAGUUUGGGGCUCAACCGUAAAAUUGCAUUUGAUACUGGCAGCCUUGAGUACAGUUGAGGUAGGCGGAAUUCGUGGUGUAGCGGUGAAAUGCUUAGAUAUCGCGAAGAACUCCGAUUGCGAAGGCAGCUUACCAAACUGCCACUGACAUUGAUGCACGAAAGUGUGGGUAUCAAACAGGAUUAGAUACCCUUGUAGUC
RNAcentral lists this ribosomal RNA (460 nucleotides) under uncultured bacterium. Its description in RNAcentral is "partial 16S ribosomal RNA". It matches the Rfam family "Bacterial small subunit ribosomal RNA", at positions 338 to 795 of the family's 1533-position model. The record is from RNAcentral.